CAUGUGGUUAGAUUUUCCGGAACUUGCGUUGCCGUCUAAAUUUCUCUCAAUUCGGAUUUUGUAAUUUUUGUUGUGAAUUGAAAUAAAACACGAAAUCCAUGUUAUAACGAACAAUUGGAUGAUAUUCGACAGGCUGCCUUCUUCUUACCUUUAAUAAACCGAUUCCACCACUUGACCUCAGCUUCAUGUCAGAUAUCAGCCGUACAAAAUUUCAAAACAGAACAUCACGCUAACAAACACCAGAACAACUUGGGUAACAACGGUAGCAGUAUACAUAUGACUUGUACGGUUUAGUUGUUACAUUCAACACAAAACAAUUCUAAAUUUGCUACCUGUUAGAUGAAUGAAAUGGGUUUGUGCUUGUUUGCUGUCUCAGCAAUUGUCCUCUGUACCGCGCUAGGAGAAAAGCAAGACGAUAUCUUGAUAUCGAAAAUUGGGAAACUUCAUUUUCAACUUUUCAAGUCUAUCCAGAGAAAAUUUAAUUUGCUCAAAACCGCGACGUUUGAAACUUGGUGUUCGAGUGAUGGGUGUACUUUCAAUAACUUCACUCGGGCAAAACAAACUCAACGACACCUAAAAUGCAGGGAUGGAUGGCAAAAAUUUAACGAGCAUUGCUACAAACUCGUAACCACCAAAGUAAACUUCUUUGAGGCGGAGAUGUACUGCCGUAAAGAGCAGUCAUCAUUGGUAGAUAUUGAUAAUGCAGAGGAAGAUGCCUGGAUUAAAGGAUUUAAAAAAGAUUUUCUAUGGAUCUCUGGUACUGAUUUAGCUACACAUGGCGAGUGGAGAUGGCUAUCCUCAGGGGAAACCAUGAAGUUUACAAACUGGGCGAUAGACCAACCACAAAACAACCAGGAACAUUGUGCUAAUUACUACAUCGGUGGCUGGCAUGAUGCCUCUUGUUCCAAUCUUAAGUCACCUUUCAUCUGCAAAUAUUGAUCAUCUACUGUCUGAUGUAAUCGUAAUAUUAAAUAAACAUGUAAAUGAUAGA
This is a long non-coding RNA of Ostrea edulis (European flat oyster), 991 nucleotides long. RefSeq lists it as uncharacterized. The record is from RefSeq and is a predicted model, not a curated record. The transcript is spliced from 2 exons. Lineage: Eukaryota; Metazoa; Mollusca; Bivalvia; Ostreida; Ostreidae.